This 489-nucleotide ribosomal RNA is filed under the name uncultured bacterium. RNAcentral's name for it is "partial 16S ribosomal RNA". It matches the Rfam family "Bacterial small subunit ribosomal RNA", at positions 28 to 507 of the family's 1533-position model. The record is from RNAcentral.
GAUGAACGCUAGCUACAGGCUUAACACAUGCAAGUCGAGGGGCAGCAUGAACUUAGCUUGCUAAGUUUGAUGGCGACCGGCGCACGGGUGAGUAACACGUAUCCAACCUGCCGAUGACUCGGGGAUAGCCUUUCGAAAGAAAGAUUAAUACCCGAUGGCAUAGUUCUUCCGCAUGGUAGAACUAUUAAAGAAUUUCGGUCAUCGAUGGGGAUGCGUUCCAUUAGGUUGUUGGCGUGGUAACGGCCCACCUAGCCUUCGAUGGAUAGGGGUUCGGAGAGGAAGGUCCCCGACAUGGGAACUGAGACAAGGUCCAAACUCCUACGGGAGGCAGCAGUGAGGAAUAUUGGUCAAGGGAAGAGAGUCUGAACCAGCCAAGUAGCGUGAAGGAUGACUGCCCUAUGGGUUGUAAACUUCUUUUAUACGGGAAUAAAGUGAGGCACGUGUGCCUUUUUGUAUGUACCGGAUGAAUAAGGAUCGGCUAACUCCGUG